RNAcentral lists this ribosomal RNA (207 nucleotides) under uncultured bacterium. Its description in RNAcentral is "partial 16S ribosomal RNA". It matches the Rfam family "Bacterial small subunit ribosomal RNA", at positions 568 to 774 of the family's 1533-position model. The record is from RNAcentral.
CGCGCAGGCGGUUAAUUAAGUCGAAUGUGAAAGCCCCCGGCUCAACUGGGGAGGGUCAUUCGAUACUGAUCAACUUGAAGGCAGGAGAGGGUAGUGGAAUUCCCGGUGUAGUGGUGAAAUGCGUAGAUAUCGGGAGGAACACCAGUGGCGAAGGCGACUACCUGGCCUGUUCUUGACGCUGAGGCGCGAAAGCUGGGGGAGCAAACG